This 1005-nucleotide long non-coding RNA is filed under the name Heterocephalus glaber (naked mole-rat). RNAcentral's name for it is "lncRNA (ENSHGLG00000041548.1)". The record is from RNAcentral. Lineage: Eukaryota; Metazoa; Chordata; Mammalia; Rodentia; Bathyergidae.
CCAGAGUGCUGAGAUUACAGGCUGGCAUUGAACUCACUGUGUAGCCUAGGCUGGCCUCAAGCUCACAGCCAUCCUCCUGCCUCAGCCUUCCAAGUGCUAGGAUUAUAGCUUCUUAGGAAGCCACAAAAUUAAAGCACUGACGCAUAAUUGUUUUGAAAAAAAGAUAUCCCUGACAGAAGGCUUUUGAACUCCACAAUCUCCAAGGAAGCCUAUUAAUGAGCUAUUCUGGGGAACCACCAGACAAAUUAAAAAAAAGCUCAAUGCUUUGGGGAAAAGCUUUGAAUGAACUCCAGGUCCCUCCUGCUCCCUCCAGUGGCUUCCAGGCAGCCCCAGGGAUGCUGGAAAGAAAAAAAGGCUGAAUAGUGUCAGAGCAGACUUCUCACUGAGAACAACAAUAGAAGGUUGAACUAUAAAAUGUUUUUGAUGAGAUAGAAGAGCUACCAAUGCAACAAGGACUUAUUGGAACUAACUUCCAGAAAGCAAGUGACCCUCAGGAUUGGAGCCCAAGGUCACCUAAGGAUGGAGAAGGCAGAGGUCGAGAGGCACAGAACCUGAGCAGGGCCAGCAGCAGACACCUGAGAGGAACAUCUGCCAGUCCCACAGCGUUGCGGGAACAAAUGUUGACCUUCACAGCCAAAGAUUUUAAAAUAAUUGUGGCUAAUAUGUUUAAGAAAUUAAAUGAUGGUUGGCAAGGUGACACAUGCCUAUAAUCCCAGCAUUUGGGAGGCUGAGGCAGAAGGAUUGCCAUGAGUUUGAUGCCAGCCUGGGUUACAUAGUGAGUUCAAAGUCAGCUUGAACUGCAUAGUGAGACCCUAUCCCCCUUCCUCCAAUCAAAUGAAAGAUGUAAAUAGGAACUGAAAUUUUCAUUUUAGUCAUUGGAAUUUUUAUUUCAUCCAAUGAAAAGAAUGGAGAGUGGAAAGUCUAGUAACUGAAGGUUAAAAAUUCAACAGAUGAAUCUGACAAUAGAUUAGAUACAGCAGAAAUGAGCAAAUUAGUGGUUUGAAA